Molecule: long non-coding RNA, 876 nt
Organism: Mastomys coucha (southern multimammate mouse)
Lineage: Eukaryota; Metazoa; Chordata; Mammalia; Rodentia; Muridae
Exons: 2
Source: RefSeq, a predicted model, not a curated record
GAAUAACUAGAAGACACCGUAACAACAGAAUGUGGAACUAAGAACACCACAGUAACUACAAAAUAACACAAGGAAAGCACCGCUGGAAUCCUAAUGGGCAGCCUUCACUGCUUACUACACUGAACUUUGAAUUUACCUUAGAAGCUCAUCUCUAGAGGUGCCUGUGAAGAUAUGUCCACAGAGAUCUAACUGAGGAAGAAGAUAGUCUCUGAAUGUAAGAGACACUAUACCAUGGACUGAGACCCAGAUGAAUACAAAAAGAAAGAGGAAGUCAGCUGAGCGCCAGCACUCAUCAAUCUUGGUUAUUGAACUGGUAUCACCACCACCUCUUGUUCCUACUACCAUAUCUUUCUUGUCAUGAUGAACUGGGUCUCUUCCAACUACGAACCAAAAUGAAUCCUUUCUACCUUGAAUUACUUCUGCCAGGUAUUCAGUUAUGGCAAUGAAAGGAUGAACGAUUAUAUAAAGUUUGUACCACGGAGAAGGGCUGUUGCUGAGAGAUGGAUACAUAUCUCAUUUGUGAAAUAAAGCUGCUGAGUACAGCAUGGACCAGUAAUACCACCUUCACCUGGGAGCUUGUUAAAAUAAAACCGUGAUGCAACAGUAAGAAGUCCCCAAGAAUCCCUACUUUAACAAGUUCUCCAGGUAACCCUCAUGCACGCCAAGGUGAAGAAAUGCUCUCCUAAUAGGGAGGUUUGCAACUUUUUUUUGCACAUUGGGAUCAUAUGAAGAACUUAAAAUCUUGAACCCCAACUAAAGUAUUCGUAUUUGAUUGAUAUGUGGACAGCCAUCACCAUGGUUGUGAAUUAAUACACCAAAAUCCAUUUGGAGUAUUUGAUUUGGCUCCUUUUAAGAAAUAAAAUAAUUAAAAGUAAA